RNAcentral lists this ribosomal RNA (253 nucleotides) under uncultured bacterium. RNAcentral's name for it is "partial 16S ribosomal RNA". It matches the Rfam family "Bacterial small subunit ribosomal RNA", at positions 524 to 776 of the family's 1533-position model. The record is from RNAcentral.
UACGUAGGGUGCAAGCGUUAAUCGGAAUUACUGGGCGUAAAGCGUGCGCAGGCGGCUUGGCAAGUCGGGUGUGAAAUCCCGGGGCUCAACCCCGUGACUGCAUCCGAUACUGUCAGGCUAGAGGUAGGUAGGGGAGAUCGGAAUUCCUGGUGUAGCGGUGAAAUGCGCAGAUAUCAGGAGGAACACCGGUGGCGAAGGCGGAUCGCUGGGCCGGUCCUGACACUGAGGCGCGAAGGCGUGGGGAGCGAACGGG